Trifolium pratense (red clover) is the source of this 257-nucleotide long non-coding RNA. RefSeq lists it as uncharacterized. The record is from RefSeq and is a predicted model, not a curated record. NCBI's taxonomy places the organism in Eukaryota, Viridiplantae, Streptophyta, Magnoliopsida, Fabales, Fabaceae. The transcript is spliced from 3 exons.
UGCUAAAUGUUUGUAAUGCAAAUUUGAGUUUUCAUCAUCAUUUUUCUCCAACCAACUUUUGGAUAGAUGCUCUUCAAUAGGAUAAGAGAAUAAAAAAGAGACCUCUAUUUUUGUCAUUGUUGCAUCUUUGAUGCUCAAGAAGUCUAUGAAAAGUGACAAUUUAUUUACUGGGUGGCGCAUAUGCAUAGACUACACGAGGUUGAAUCAAGCAACAAGGAAGGAUCACUUUCCUUUACCUUAUAUGGAUCAAAUGUUAG